Molecule: long non-coding RNA, 208 nt
Filed under: Elaeis guineensis (African oil palm)
Lineage: Eukaryota; Viridiplantae; Streptophyta; Magnoliopsida; Arecales; Arecaceae
Description: long non-coding RNA (EGUI_LNC040239)
Source: RNAcentral
UCCCUCUUGGCAUCCUCUCUCCUUUUGUGAUGGUGUGUGGAGCUCUUCCAAGGCCUUAGGAUCUGAUCACAAGGCUUCAUCUCCUUCUUUUUCGAAGAAAGAGUUCAUCCCUCUCUUCUACAGUGUUUGACGUGCACGUGAAGUAGAGGAUCCAUGCAUUUGGAUCUCACGAAGCAUAUUGAUUGAGGAGCUUCUUCAAUCUUGAUCC